UUGAGCUUGAUCCCUGGCUCAGAUUGAACGCUGGCGGCAGGCCUAACACAUGCAAGUCGAGCGGUAGAGAGAAGCUUGCUUCUCUUGAGAGCGGCGGACGGGUGAGUAAUGCCUAGGAAUCUGCCUGGUAGUGGGGGAUAACGUUCGGAAACGGACGCUAAUACCGCAUACGUCCUACGGGAGAAAGCAGGGGACCUUCGGGCCUUGCGCUAUCAGAUGAGCCUAGGUCGGAUUAGCUAGUUGGUGAGGUAAUGGCUCACCAAGGCGACGAUCCGUAACUGGUCUGAGAGGAUGAUCAGUCACACUGGAACUGAGACACGGUCCAGACUCCUACGGGAGGCAGCAGUGGGGAAUAUUGGACAAUGGGCGAAAGCCUGAUCCAGCCAUGCCGCGUGUGUGAAGAAGGUCUUCGGAUUGUAAAGCACUUUAAGUUGGGAGGAAGGGCAGUAACUUAAUACGUUGCUGUUUUGACGUUACCGACAGAAUAAGCACCGGCUA
Molecule: ribosomal RNA, 498 nt
Filed under: Pseudomonas sp. CL1.99
Lineage: Bacteria; Pseudomonadati; Pseudomonadota; Gammaproteobacteria; Pseudomonadales; Pseudomonadaceae
Description: bacterial SSU rRNA
Rfam family: Bacterial small subunit ribosomal RNA
Source: RNAcentral